RNAcentral lists this ribosomal RNA (460 nucleotides) under uncultured bacterium. Its description in RNAcentral is "partial 16S ribosomal RNA". It matches the Rfam family "Bacterial small subunit ribosomal RNA", at positions 338 to 795 of the family's 1533-position model. The record is from RNAcentral.
CCUACGGGUGGCAGCAGUGAGGAAUAUUGGUCAAUGGACGAGAGUCUGAACCAGCCAAGUCGCGUGAAGGAUGACUGCCCUAUGGGUUGUAACCUUCUUUUAUAUGGGAAUAAAACGUUCCACGUGUGGGAUUCUGUAUGUACCAUAUGAAUAAGGAUCGGCUACCUCCGUGCAAGCAGCCGCGGUAAUACGGAGGGUCCGAGCGUUAUCCGGAUUUAUUGGGUUUAAAGGGGGCGUAGGUGGAUUGUUAAGUCAGUUGUGAAAGUGUGCGGCUCAACCGUAAAAGUGCAGUUGAAACUGGCAGUCUUGAGUACAGUAGAGGUGGGCGGAAUGCGUGGUGUAGCGGUGAAAUGCUUAGAUAUCACGAAGAACUCCGAUUGCGAAGGCAGUUCACUGGACUGCAACUGACACUGAGGCUCGAAAGUGUGGGGAUCAAACAGGAUUAGAUACCCCAGUAGUC